GAUGAACGCUGGCUGCAUGCCUAAUACAUGCAAGUCGAGCGACCAGACGAGUAGCUUUCUCUUCUGACGUUAGCGGCGGACGGGUGAGUAACUCAUAGAUAACCUACCUAUAGGACUGGCGUGACUUCCGUAUACCGGAGCUGAUACCGGAUAAUAUAUUUAACCUCUUGGUUCGGUAUCACUAUACGGGUUUGUUGUUUCUCGUAGAUGGAGCGGUGCCGCAUUUGCUUGUUGGGAAGGUAACGCCUCACCAAGACAACGAUUCGUAGCUGACCUGGGAGGGUGAGCGGCCACACUGGAACGGAGACACGGUCCAGACCACAACGGGAGGCAGCAGAGGGGAAUGUUCCGCAAUGGGCGAAAGCCUGACCGAGCAAAGCCGAGUGAGUGAAGAAGGGCUUCGGAUCGUAAAACUCUGUUAUUAGGGAAGAAGAAUUGUGUAAGGAACUAUGCACGUCUUGACGGUACCUAAUCAGAAAGCCACGGCUAACUACGUG
This 497-nucleotide ribosomal RNA is filed under the name uncultured bacterium. RNAcentral describes it as "partial 16S ribosomal RNA". It matches the Rfam family "Bacterial small subunit ribosomal RNA", at positions 28 to 507 of the family's 1533-position model. The record is from RNAcentral.